AUGUUUAAUAUAUAGAAUGCAAAGUGGAAGAAGGCCGGAGAAAUUUGACAAUUUUAAUGAUAAAGUAUAUGUAGAUAUAUAAAAAGUUUUGAUAUUCUUUGCCUUUCCCUUUGACCAAUGUGUGUAUGAAGAAAAAACGGUAAAUAAAAAUAUAGCCAUUAAUAAUAUGAAAGUUUAAAACCAAAACACCAGAUCCAAAUAUUAGAAUCCAAAAUACUAGACCACCAACUUAGAACCAUUCAAAACAUAAAGAAGAAAAAAAAACAUAAGUAAUCUUGUUAACGAACAUAAGUAAUCUUGUUGCUGAGGAAUCAAAGCAAUAAUGCAAUUUAUGCAAAAAGCCAGUAAGAACAUAUCAAAAAAAAAAAGCCAGUAAGAACAUAUCAAGUUAGUUUUGGAUGAAUGAAUUCUCUAAUCAUGUAUGUUUUCCUUUUUAGCAACUUUUGUUGUCUAGAGAGAGAGAGAGUUUGUAUAUAAUAAGCGGCAUUGUUUGUUAAGAUUUUGGACAGUGGAAAAUAAACUUCUUAAGGCAAUUGACUUAUAGCUAAAACACUGAGAUGCAAAACUGGGACAUUUGGCCUGGGUGGCCUGGCGGGUUUACU
RNAcentral lists this long non-coding RNA (602 nucleotides) under Brassica rapa (field mustard). RNAcentral's name for it is "long non-coding RNA (BRAP_LNC001960)". The record is from RNAcentral. Lineage: Eukaryota; Viridiplantae; Streptophyta; Magnoliopsida; Brassicales; Brassicaceae.